AUCCUGUAUAGUUUAUUCAUCCAAUUUCGUAAAAGCCAGAACCACAGGGAGAACGGACUUGUAGCAGCCAAGCGUUCAUAGCGACGCUGCUUUUUGAUUCUUCGAUGUUGGCUCUUCCUUUCAUACUGAAGCAGAAUUCAGAUUAUUCAUUCACUAAUAUGGAACCUGAGCUGGGAUCAGUCCGUCUUGAGACAGGUUAGUU
This 202-nucleotide non-coding RNA is filed under the name Mucor ambiguus. Its description in RNAcentral is "Eukaryotic large subunit ribosomal RNA". It matches the Rfam family "Eukaryotic large subunit ribosomal RNA", at positions 2771 to 2988 of the family's 3401-position model. Lineage: Eukaryota; Fungi; Mucoromycota; Mucoromycetes; Mucorales; Mucoraceae. The record is from Rfam by way of RNAcentral.